Long non-coding RNA from Tarenaya hassleriana, 1698 nucleotides. RefSeq lists it as uncharacterized. Lineage: Eukaryota; Viridiplantae; Streptophyta; Magnoliopsida; Brassicales; Cleomaceae. The record is from RefSeq and is a predicted model, not a curated record. The transcript is spliced from 3 exons.
GGAAAUAUGUGGGAACAAUUGAGUCAAUAUAAUACCAUGGGCACCCUCUCCCAAUAAACUAGCUUUUGGGGUGAGUUCUACCCAUGGACUUUGAGACUUUGUUGGGUCCAUUAUUAAUAGGUGGAUUCUAUCAAAGGUUCCCUUUGGAAACAGAGCAAAGUCUCACAAACCAUCUCUAUGCACACAAGCCUGAAGCUGAAAAGAAACUCAAAAAGUUGGGAGUAGAUGGAGCUGGAAAUACAAUUUAUCAGAGGGGCUGUUCAACUGGCGUUGGUUUUGAAGGAAAGAGUUGUGUAAACUACGUCUGGUAACUUGAGAGGCAGACCAAAGUGGCACCUCAGAAAAUCAUAUUUCCAGAGGAUUAAAGAAAAACAAAAACAAGCAGCCGUAAGCUGGACAUUGACAUACAUUAGAACUUGAAGAAACCUGAGAGGUCCAAUUAGAGAGUAUUGCAGUCCAAGACCAAUCUACAUUUAGCGUAUGCUGUUGUGGAUGGAUGCAAUGGUUUUUCAGUUGGUAGUUAUCUGAGGAGAACUGACGCAAGAGGAAGAUUCCCGGCGUUACUUACGAGCUUGAACUGAGGGAAAUGAACUUUAAUCCCGGGAGCAGCAGCAGCAACUACUGAUGGUAAAUAAGACUGCAGAGGAAAUCCAUUUGGGAUCAAGAACUGGUGUAUGUAUGGAUGUGGCACAUAAAUAGGUGGAAAAUAGGAACCGGAAGGAAAGAAGUAGGGAGGGUGUUGUUGCUUAAAAAGAUGAAUAGAGUGUUGAGAGGAUGCAAUGGCACUCUCAUCGGUAGACAUCGAGUAUGGGAUAGUUUGAGGCUUGGAAUGUGCAUUCUGCAAUUCGAGAAAAGCCUCCUUGUCGUCCUUUCGAAACUUCGACAGGAGAAUCAACUAGCUCAGCCCUUUGUCUUGUCUUGGGCCAAGGUUGACAAAUCCUGGCUGGAAAAGAAAUUCUUUAGCAAGGUCAAGGUGACAUAACUGAGCCACAACAAGCAAAUGGGAUUUGUUAAUACAAAAAGGAAAAACUCUCUUCUAUGGUUUUGUCUCUCAAAUCAGUAUCAAGACAGAAGGUUGCUGAAUCAAUAUCAAGACAGAAGCAGGUCAAUAGCUAACUCAAAAAGUAUACCAUUCACCGACCUAGGAGGAGCCUCCUCAGGGACAUGAAUGUCAUCAUCUCCGUCCAUGUUUGGACGGUCACCCUCAAUAGAACCGUUGUUAGAAGAAGAGGUCUCCUCCGUGGAAUUGCAAUCAAAGCUCCCAGAAGUCAGGCCAUUUCCCAAUGCCUUGGGGACUUGUGGCCGUUCACCAAAUAUCCGACUCAAGAGGUAACUGGGUUUUAGAGACUGUUGGAACAAAAAGUGGAAAAAACGAAACAUAAGCUACAUGCCAAGCCCAAUCAUAGCCCGCAACUGAACUAAAAAACACAAGUAAACCGGUCCUAAUAAAAUUUGAUUAAACCAAUGAUCAGUGACAGUGCGUCGCAGAAAGCAGCUAUACAACUGACUGACCAAUGCAAUUCGACGUAACAGACAAUGAAGGAUCCUGCUUGUUCAAAGAAGAUGAUUUCACCUUGGCUGGCUGGUUGUCCACAACAGGCUUCAAAUAUACGCAUGGUGUCUAGUAAUUUAAAAAAUAACAAGAGGGUUCUUUGUUAAAGCAUUGGGAAAUUGAUAAAAUAUUUUGAAAAAAAUGGG